AGGGAUGCAGCACUCUUAAAAUUGCAAAGCUUCUGAAGCGUGAUCAUCGAACAAUCAAGCGUUUCAUUCAAAAUAGUCAACAGGGUCGCAAGAAGCGUGUGGAAAAACCAAGGCGCAAAAUAACUGCCCAUGAACUGAGAAAAGUCAAGCGUGCAGCUGCCACGAUGCCACUUGCCACCAUUUUGGCCAUAUUUCAGAGCUGCAACAUCACUGGAGUGCCCAAAAGCACAAGGUGUGCAAUACUCAGAGACAUGGCCAAG
Molecule: non-coding RNA, 260 nt
Organism: Pelobates cultripes (western spadefoot toad)
Lineage: Eukaryota; Metazoa; Chordata; Amphibia; Anura; Pelobatidae
Source: the annotation of a GenBank genome assembly